Molecule: ribosomal RNA, 980 nt
Filed under: Cytobacillus firmus
Lineage: Bacteria; Bacillati; Bacillota; Bacilli; Caryophanales; Bacillaceae
Description: bacterial SSU rRNA
Rfam family: Bacterial small subunit ribosomal RNA
Source: RNAcentral
GACGACCGCUGGCGGCGUGCCUAAUACAUGCAAGUCGAGCUUACGGAUGGGAGCUUGCUCCCAGACCGUCAGCGGCCGACGGGUGAGUAACACGUGGGCAACCUGCCUGUAAGACUGGGAUAACUCCGGGAAACCGGGGCUAAUACCGGAUAAGUCUUUCCCUCACAUGAGGUAAAGCUGAAAGAUGGCAUCUCGCUAUCACUUACAGAUGGGCCCGCGGCGCAUUAGCUAGUUGGUGAGGUAACGGCUCACCAAGGCUACGAUGCGUAGCCGACCUGAGAGGGUGAUCGGCCACACUGGGACUGAGACACGGCCCAGACUCCUACGGGAGGCAGCAGUAGGGAAUCUUCCGCAAUGGACGAAAGUCUGACGGAGCAACGCCGCGUGAGUGAUGAAGGUUUUCGGAUCGUAAAACUCUGUUGUCAGGCCAGAACAAGUACCGGAGUAACUGCCGGUACCUUGACGGUACCUGACCAGAAAGCCACGGCUAACUACGUGCCAGCAGCCGCGGUAAUACGUAGGUGGCAAGCGUUGUCCGGAAUUAUUGGGCGUAAAGCGCGCGCAGGCGGUUCCUUAAGUCUGAUGUGAAAGCCGGCGGCUCAACCGGGGAGGGUCAUUGGAAACUGGGGAACUUGAGUGCAGAAGAGAAGAGUGGAAUUCCACGUGUAGCGGUGAAAUGCGUAGAGAUGUGGAGGAACACCAGUGGCGAAGGCGACUCUUUGGUCUGUAACUGACGCUGAGGCGCGAAAGCGUGGGGAGCAAACAGGAUUAGAUACCCUGGUAGUCCACGCCGUAAACGAUGAGUGCUAAGUGUUAGAGGGUUUCCGCCCUUUAGUGCUGCAGCAAACGCAUUAAGCACUCCGCCUGGGGAGUACGGCCGCAAGGCUGAAACUCAAAGGAAUUGACGGGGGCCCGCACAAGCGGUGGAGCAUGUGGUAAAAUUCGAAGCAACGCGAAGAACCUUACCAGGUCUUGACAUC